Molecule: ribosomal RNA, 253 nt
Filed under: uncultured bacterium
Lineage: Bacteria
Description: partial 16S ribosomal RNA
Rfam family: Bacterial small subunit ribosomal RNA
Source: RNAcentral
UACAGAGGGGGCAAGCGUUAUUCGGAAUUAUUGGGCGUAAAGGGCGCGUAGGCGGCUUGUCAAGUCAGGGGUGAAAUCCGGCAGCUUAACCGGGGAACUGCGUCUGAUACUGGAUGGCUAGAGAUUGGGAGAGGGAUGCGGAAUUCCAGGUGUAGCGGUGAAAUGCGUAGAUAUCUGGAGGAACACCGGUGGCGAAGGCGGCAUCCUGGACCAACACUGACGCUGAGGAGCGAAAGCCAGGGGAGCAAACGGG